Molecule: long non-coding RNA, 1919 nt
Organism: Pongo pygmaeus (Bornean orangutan)
Lineage: Eukaryota; Metazoa; Chordata; Mammalia; Primates; Hominidae
Exons: 3
Source: RefSeq, a predicted model, not a curated record
GCUAGAACUGGACACCUCGGGGGUUUCCUGCUUUAUGGCGAAGGAUGGAGUUUUGCUCUUGUUGCCCAAGCUGGAGUGCAAUGGUGUGAUCUUGGCUCACUGCAACCUCUGCUUCCUGGGUUCAAGUGAUUCCCCUGCCUCAGCCUCCCGAGUAGCAGGGAUUACAGAUGGAGCCUCACUCUGUCACCCAGGCUGGAGUGCAGUGGCACAAUCUCGGGUCACUGCAACCUCCGCCCCCCAGGUUCAAGCGAUUCUCCUGUCUCAGCCUCCCGAGUAGCUAGGAUUACAGGUGCAUGCCACCAGGCCUGGAUAAUUUUUAUAUUUUUAGUAGAGUUGGGAUUUUGCCAUGUUGGCCAGGCUGGUCUCAAACUCCUGACCUCAGGUGACCCAUCCACCUCAGCCUCCCAAAGUGCUGGGACUACAGGUGUGAGCCACCAUGCCUGGUCCCCCACUUGUUGAUUUUGCAGAAAAGAUAGCUGUGUUACAACCCGUCCUAAGGUCAGGUAUGAAUACUUGUGCUUCUUUCUUGGCUCCCCAAGCCAGAGGGCAUUCCUAUGCCCUGGUGAGAGAGCACGGAGUAUUACUUUGGCAGCAUAGUCAGUUACCAGAGGUGGGAAAAGCAAAGGCCAAGCAGGACAUGAGGGGCCCUUGCACUGGCUGGUUCUCCCUGCCUUCACCACCCUCCAGGUGAAUGACUAGGUGAGUAAUGAUUGACUGAGGAGAUAAUGAAUAAUUUAUGGACACUGCUGGACCUCAGUCUCCUCAUCUGAAAGAUGAGUGGUUGGAGAAAUUUAAUGGUUUUCAAAUGCUUUUUUUUUCAGUCUUCAAAUAAGUGUUUACGUAGAAGCACCAUAUCUGAAACAGGUGACAGUGGACCAGUCUGAAUGAAAUGAGGGUUGGCAGGUCUGAGCUCCAAAACCUUCUGAUUGCCUAAGCCCUCCUUGUCUUGCUUGGAUUAUCUCCACACAAAUGGAGAAACUGGACAAGGUGGUCAUGGAGGUCGCUGAAAGCUCAAAGACUCUCUCAUUCCAGGAUCCCCCAUGUUCAUAUGCCAGCAUGGCAUGGGGGUGCUCUGUAGUCAAGCAGGGUCCUUUGGGGAGCUUAGGGAUGGAGCCAGGAAAUGGCUCUGGGACUCAGCGGGUGUCCAGAGUCUCAUCAGCAGGGUUUCUUUACUUUCACUGAGUGGCUGGUGCCUGCACACUGAGUUUUGCAGGCUUACUCUCACAGAGUGAGCUUCCUGCAGGCCCCCCACUGCAACCCCCUUUCCUUCCUGGAGCUGUGUGCUGACUGGUGGGUGAGCACCCAGGCCCUCUCCCCAUGCUGCUGAUGGCCAGAUUUCUCUGCACGCUUGUGGUCGCCACAGUCAAAGCUGAUAAAAUUGCUGAUGCAGAUUGCCUGCCCAGCUGCGAGUGCUGGCACGGGACCAGCGGCCCAGACGUCACUGGAAGUGGUGGGCUGAUUAUUGGCAUCAUCUCCAUUGUCCUACUCAGUUUUUAAAGGCAAAUGGGCUUGCCUCACUCCUACAGCAAAUGGCGGCAUGGGCAAAGAGGGGCAACAGACCCACCCUGAAGACACUCCUCAUCUGGUUGACUUGGUGGGGUUAAGGGAAAAAGAUGUGAUGACUAGGAGCUGAGAGCUUAGUGGUUCUGCCAGAGCUGCAGAGUCUUUGUUGGCCUCGGGGUGGGACCUCUCACAUCUCUGUCAGCUUUUCACAGACACCAACCUGUUAUGAUUCAUUUCACCUGUCCUGAGCACUAACAAGAAAAAUUCCCUGUAGCUUUGGAUGUAUUAUUCUGGAUUUCUCAACUCAUUCAUUUGUUCAUUCAUUCACUAUACCAUUACUGUCUAUUAUAAGGGGGGCACAAUGGUAGGUGCUGGGAAUAAAAAUGGUGUUUAAUGUUUCAUGAGGCUUCCCUGUC